Molecule: ribosomal RNA, 385 nt
Filed under: uncultured bacterium
Lineage: Bacteria
Description: bacterial SSU rRNA
Rfam family: Bacterial small subunit ribosomal RNA
Source: RNAcentral
AAUGGGAGAAAUCCUGAAGCAGCAACGCCGCGUGGAGGAUGAAGGGUCUAUGACUUGUAAACUCCUGUAAAGAAGGAAAAAAUUCCCAUUUGAUGGGAGAUGAUGGUACUUCUGGAGUAAGCCCCGGCUAACUACGUGCCAGCAGCCGCGGUAAUACGUAGGGGGCAAGCGUUGUCCGGCUUUACUGGGUGUAAAGGCUGCUCAGGCGGAUCUGUAAGUCAGAGGUGAAAUCUUACAGCUUAACUGUGAAACUGCCUUUGGUACGGCAAGCCUAGAGUAUGGAAGAGAGUGAUGGAAUAUCUGGUGUAGCAGUGAAAUGCUUAGAUAUCAGAUAGAACACCAAUGGCGAAGGCAGUCACUUGGUCCAUUACUGACGCUAAAGCAC